This 256-nucleotide ribosomal RNA is filed under the name uncultured bacterium. RNAcentral describes it as "partial 16S ribosomal RNA". It matches the Rfam family "Bacterial small subunit ribosomal RNA", at positions 333 to 586 of the family's 1533-position model. The record is from RNAcentral.
UAAUACCUACGGGGGGCAGCAGUGAGGAAUAUUGGUCAAUGGGCGGGAGCCUGAACCAGCCAAGCCGCGUGAGGGAAGAAGGUACAGCGUAUCGUAAACCUCUUUUGUCAGGGAACAAAGGCGGGGACUAGUCCCCGGAUGAGGGUACCUGAAGAAAAAGCAUCGGCUAACUCCGUGCCAGCAGCCGCGGUAAUACGUAGGUGGCAAGCGUUGUCCGGAUUUAUUGGGCGUAAAGCGAGUGCAGGCGGUUCAAUAA